GCGGGGGAACUCCUGGCCGCGCCCCCCUGUGGGGUGAGGAAAGUCCGGGCACCGCAGGGCAGGAUGCCAGCUAACGGCUGGUCGGCGAGUCAAGCGUUCACGCCCGCGCCCCGGGGCGUGAACGGCGGCGAAGCCGAAGGACAGUGCCACAGAAACCAGACCGCCUCCUUCCAGCGCGUGAGCGCAGCCCCCGGCGCGGGUGGGAAAGGGGUCAGGGUGAAACGGUGCGGUAAGAGCGCACCAGGCCCCCGGGAGACCGGGAGCGCUGGUAAACCCCAUCCGGUGCAAGACCCGACAGAGCGGUAGGGCGGCCCGCCCGUUACUCCGCCAGGAUGGUCGCUUGAGGCGGCUGGCGACAGCCGUCCCAGAGAGAUGGUCAGGCUGCCUUCACGGCAGACAGAACCCGGCUUACCGUUCCCCCGCCCAG
RNAcentral lists this RNase P RNA (427 nucleotides) under Deinococcus reticulitermitis. Its description in RNAcentral is "Bacterial RNase P class A". It matches the Rfam family "Bacterial RNase P class A". From Rfam's summary of the family: Ribonuclease P (RNase P) is a ubiquitous endoribonuclease, found in archaea, bacteria and eukarya as well as chloroplasts and mitochondria. Lineage: Bacteria; Thermotogati; Deinococcota; Deinococci; Deinococcales; Deinococcaceae. The record is from RNAcentral.